Styela clava is the source of this 1265-nucleotide non-coding RNA. NCBI's taxonomy places the organism in Eukaryota, Metazoa, Chordata, Ascidiacea, Stolidobranchia, Styelidae. The record is from RefSeq and is a predicted model, not a curated record.
UCUCUGGGAUCCGAUAGCGUCCUUGGCUCUCUCGAGAUAGCAGAUGUGUUGGAUUUUCAAGGGUCGUUUCUGAAGUCUCUCGGUCAAGAAACGAACGUCGUCUGCAUCAUCGGACACAUAGUUGUAACUCGACUGAGUUUUUUCACAAUCAUUUCUCACCUGCUGGUCGGGUACCUUCAUACGAGGAAUCUACUUUGCAUAAAAAUAAAUUUGCUCAUUAUCCUGACGUAUACCACGACACCCGAUCAGAGCUACUUUCAAACGACUCCGUCCAACACUCUCUUCUCAAAGAAUUUUCUUCCUACCCGCAACAAAACAAAGUACACGAUUUUUUCACGCAAGCAUCUUAUGAUGACUCUGUUUCGUCCACUACUGAAUAUUACCCUCCAGUGUCGCCUAAGUACUUAUUACAACGUUCCUCCUCCCCCUCUAAUUGCAAUGCACGAUUGCGUGUCAAACGUAAGCACAAGAAGUUACGCAAAAGCCAGCUUCUAUUGUAUCUUGCCUCUGGAGAACUGGCAACACCAAUUUUCAUUCAUUGCGCGAUCCCGCUAUGUCUGACACAGACAGCGAAUUCACAGUUCCAGAGUCUUCGCCGAAUAAAUAUACGCCGGUCGUAAACACAACGGGGAAGAAUUGGCAAUAACAUUGCCUGAUAACACAGAGAUCGCGUCGAACUGAAUGGAGUGUCUUAACUGUGGUAAUAAUACGCAUGGCAACAGGCAAUAGUUCCCUCCUCAAAUCUCUAUCUCAAAACGUAGCAGCAAACAUUCUAACGGAGGUGUCUGUCCCUUCCAAAAAUGAUUCCACAUGCCCAGUGAAUGACGAGGGUUCGAAAGAAGAUUGUGGGAGCGAGGAUCGACAUCAUCUACGACAUCGACCUAACAGCUGGUGAGUCAGAACCUAAGCUUUUCAAUAUGGACGACUGUCAAACAUACAUAGCAGACGCCUUCUAUGCAAUCUCUUCCGUCUUUCGCCAACCAGUACAUCUUCGCUAACCGUCCCGUACACUAGACGAAAUGUAGUUUUUUGUGCCUUCUUCUCUGAAUGAUGCAACUAAAGCAAAUGCCGCAAACAGUAUGGUACAGUCUCCAAGAUACAAAGGGAUGCCAUCAGUUUUGUCACACAAGGCAAUAUUACAACUGUUUAUCCGUCUUUUGUAUCACAUAAUCGUCGCAUAGGUAAACAACACAAGAUGGAGAAGUCGGCGUAAACGGAAUUCCGAGGGCAAAACAUGGGAGUCGAUAGGUUAGAAAUAUUAUUUU